This 373-nucleotide unclassified non-coding RNA is filed under the name fungal sp. Its description in RNAcentral is "partial internal transcribed spacer region". The record is from RNAcentral. Lineage: Eukaryota; Fungi.
AAGUCGUAACAAGGUUUCCGUAGGUUCGUAACAAGGUUUCCGUAGGUGAACCUGCGGAAGGAUCAUUACCGAAUAAAGCGUGGUCGGGGGGGUUGUUGCUGGCAUCCUUGUGAUGCAUGUGCACAUCCUCUGCCACUCUGUCAUUCACCAUCUCCACCUGUGCAUUUUAUUGUAGGCCAGAUUGCCAUUUUUUCACAGUCGUUCUCUUGAACGCUCUUGUGUCUUGGGGUUUGCUGUUGCAGUGACAGCUCUUCUCGUCGGCAUCUCUGGUCUAUGCUCUUUUUACCCAAACACCCCAUGUUUCUGUUUUGUAUGUAUGGCUUGUUAAAGCAAUGUGUAUGCACAACUUUCAACAACGGAUCUCUUGGCUCUC